Molecule: ribosomal RNA, 253 nt
Filed under: uncultured bacterium
Lineage: Bacteria
Description: partial 16S ribosomal RNA
Rfam family: Bacterial small subunit ribosomal RNA
Source: RNAcentral
UACGUAGGGGGCAAGCGUUGUCCGGAAUCAUUGGGCGUAAAGAGCGUGUAGGCGGCCAGAUAGGUCAGCUGUGAAAACUCGAGGCUCAACCUCGAGACGCCGGUUGAAACCAUUUGGCUAGAGUCCGGAAGAGGAGAGUGGAAUUCCUGGUGUAGCGGUGAAAUGCGCAGAUAUCAGGAAGAACACCCGUGGCUAAGGCGGCUCUCUAGUACGGUACUGACGCUGAGACGCGAAAGCGUGGGGAGCGAACAGG